RNAcentral lists this ribosomal RNA (474 nucleotides) under uncultured bacterium. RNAcentral describes it as "bacterial SSU rRNA". It matches the Rfam family "Bacterial small subunit ribosomal RNA", at positions 28 to 507 of the family's 1533-position model. The record is from RNAcentral.
GAUGAACGUUGGCGGUGUGCCUAAUACAUGCAAGUCGAACGGUGACGAUUUUGUAGUAAUACGAAUGAAAUCACAGUGGCGAACGGGUGAGUAACGCGUUGGUGAUCUGCCUCGAAGUGUGGAAUAACGCUCCGAAAGGAGCGCUAAUACCGCAUGUGCUCUCGAUGUUUAGAAAGUUGAGAGUAAAGGAUUUAUUCGCUUCGAGAGGAGCCUGCGUCCCAUCAGCUGGUUGGUAGGGUAACGGCCUACCAAGGCAAUGACGGGUAGGGGACCUGAGAGGGUGGCCCCCCACAAUGGAACUGAAACACGGCCCAGACUCCUACGGGGGGCAGCAGUGGGGGAUCUUGCACAAUGGGCGAAAGCCUGAUGCAGCGACGCCGCGUGAGCGAAGAAGGCCUUCGGGUUGUAAAGCUCUGUCUGGAGGGACGAACAAAAUAGACGGUACCUCCGGAGGAAGCCACGGCUAACUACGUG